This 29-nucleotide non-coding RNA is filed under the name Mus musculus (house mouse). Lineage: Eukaryota; Metazoa; Chordata; Mammalia; Rodentia; Muridae. The record is from RNAcentral.
UGUAUCAGGGUAGCACUGACAUGAAGGAC